This 73-nucleotide transfer RNA is filed under the name Ailuropoda melanoleuca (giant panda). It matches the Rfam family "tRNA". From Rfam's summary of the family: Transfer RNA (tRNA) molecules are approximately 80 nucleotides in length. Their secondary structure includes four short double-helical elements and three loops (D, anti-codon, and T loops). Lineage: Eukaryota; Metazoa; Chordata; Mammalia; Carnivora; Ursidae. The record is from Rfam by way of RNAcentral.
ACCUGGCUGGCUCAGUCGGUGGAGCAUGUGACUCUUGACCUCAGGGUUGUGGGUUCAAGCCCCAUGUUGGGUG